GACGAACGCUGGCGGCGUGCCUAAUACAUGCAAGUAGAACGCACAGUUUAUACCGUAGCUUGCUACACCAUAGGCUGUGAGUUGCGAACGGGUGAGUAACGCGUAGGUAACCUGCCUGGUAGCGGGGGAUAACUAUUGGAAACGAUAGCUAAUACCGCAUAAUAUUAAUUAUUGCAUGAUAAUUAAUUGAAAGGUGCAAUUGAACCACUACCAGAUGGACCUGCGUUGUAUUAGCUAGUAGGGGAGGUAACGGCUCACCUAGGCGAAGGUACAUAGCCGACCUGGGAGGGUGGACGGCCACCCUGGGACUGGGACACGGCCCAGACGCCUACGGGAGGCAGCAGUAGGGGAACUUCGGCAAUGGACGAAAGGCUGACCGAGCAACGCCGCGGGAGUGAAGAAGGGUUUCGGAUCGUAAAGCUCUGUUGUAAGGGAAGAACGGGUGUGAGAGUGGAAAGUUCACACUGUGACGGUAUCUUACCAGAAAGGGACGGCUAACUACGUG
This 505-nucleotide ribosomal RNA is filed under the name uncultured bacterium. RNAcentral describes it as "partial 16S ribosomal RNA". It matches the Rfam family "Bacterial small subunit ribosomal RNA", at positions 28 to 507 of the family's 1533-position model. The record is from RNAcentral.